UACGGGGGGGGCAAGCGUUGUUCGGAAUUACUGGGCGUAAAGGGUUUGUAGGUGGCUUGCUAAGUCAGACGUGAAAUCCCUCAGCUUAACUGGGGAACUGCGUCUGAGACUGGCGAGCUUGAGUGCAGGAGAGGAACGCGGAAUUCCAGGUGUAGCGGUGAAAUGCGUAGAUAUCUGGAGGAGCACCGGUGGCGAAGGCGGCAUCCUGGACCGGCAUUGACGCUGAGGCGCGAAAGCUAGGGGAGCAAACGGG
RNAcentral lists this ribosomal RNA (253 nucleotides) under uncultured bacterium. RNAcentral describes it as "partial 16S ribosomal RNA". It matches the Rfam family "Bacterial small subunit ribosomal RNA", at positions 524 to 776 of the family's 1533-position model. The record is from RNAcentral.